AAUAAACAUACGGACAUCGGUUUCCCAAAACCGAUUGCCGUAACUUGCCGGAGGUCCCGAAACUCGCACCAGGACUCCGUCGAGACCCAAGAAUUGUCCCGGAACGCACCGACUCGUGCCACGAGUCACCCGCUGCCACACAACACCGUAAUAAAGGUGUCCUGGAAGCAAAAACAAAGCUCACAUUGAAACGAUUAUCGUCGGAUAAUCGUUCUGAUCCGAG
This 223-nucleotide long non-coding RNA is filed under the name Ananas comosus (pineapple). RNAcentral describes it as "long non-coding RNA (ACOM_LNC026857)". Lineage: Eukaryota; Viridiplantae; Streptophyta; Magnoliopsida; Poales; Bromeliaceae. The record is from RNAcentral.